GAUGAAGAACGUAGCGAAAUGCGAUAAGUAAUGUGAAUUGCAGAAUUCAGUGAAUCAUCGAAUCUUUGAACGCACAUUGCGCCCGCCAGUAUUCUGGCGGGCAUGCCUGUUCGAGCGUCAUUUCAACCAUCAAGCCCUAGGCUUGCGUUGGAGCCCUGCGGCUGCCGCAGGCCCCUAAAAGCAGUGGCGGGCUCGCUAUCACACCGAGUGCAGUAGAUUACUCUUCGCUCAGGGCGUGUGGCGGGUUCCAGCCGUGAAACCCCCUACUUCUCAAGGUUGACCUCGGAUCAGGUAGGAAUACCCGCUGAACUUAAGCAUAUCAAUAAGCGGAGGA
Molecule: unclassified non-coding RNA, 334 nt
Filed under: soil metagenome
Description: partial contains 5.8S ribosomal RNA, internal transcribed spacer 2, and large subunit ribosomal RNA
Rfam family: 5.8S ribosomal RNA (bases 1-120)
Source: RNAcentral